RNAcentral lists this long non-coding RNA (200 nucleotides) under Capsicum annuum. RNAcentral describes it as "long non-coding RNA (CANN_LNC012970)". The record is from RNAcentral. Lineage: Eukaryota; Viridiplantae; Streptophyta; Magnoliopsida; Solanales; Solanaceae.
UAUAACUCAUAAACUCAGAUGUCAGAUUUGGAUGAAACCAAUUGCAUUGGAAAGAAGACUCAAAGAUCUUUCUUUUCAUAGGUGGAAGCUCUCCCAGUUCAUUAUAUUAAGGGAGUUAUGAUCGUUCAAAGUUGACCCAAAAAAAUGGCUGACCUCAGUAGUUUGUGUGCAGGAAAUUUUCCUGCACAUCUACUAUUCCC